GACGAACGCUGGCGGCGUGCUUAACACAUGCAAGUCGAACGGAAAGGCCCUGCUUUUGUGGGGUGCUCGAGUGGCGAACGGGUGAGUAACACGUGAGUAACCUGCCCUUGACUUUGGGAUAACUUCAGGAAACUGGGGCUAAUACCGGAUAGGAGCUCCUGCUGCAUGGUGGGGGUUGGAAAGUUUCGGCGGUUGGGGAUGGACUCGCGGCUUAUCAGCUUGUUGGUGGGGUAGUGGCUUACCAAGGCUUUGACGGGUAGCCGGCCUGGGAGGGUGACCGGCCACAUUGGGACUGAGAUAAGGCCCAGACUCCUACGGGAGGCAGCAGUGGGGAAUAUUGCACAAUGGGCGGAAGCCUGAUGCAGCAACGCCGCGUGCGGGAUGACGGCCUUCGGGUUGUAAACCGCUUUCGCCUGUGACGAAGCGUGAGUGACGGUAAUGGGUAAAGAAGCACCGGCUAACUACGUG
RNAcentral lists this ribosomal RNA (468 nucleotides) under uncultured bacterium. RNAcentral describes it as "partial 16S ribosomal RNA". It matches the Rfam family "Bacterial small subunit ribosomal RNA", at positions 28 to 507 of the family's 1533-position model. The record is from RNAcentral.